Molecule: long non-coding RNA, 1037 nt
Organism: Pipistrellus kuhlii (Kuhl's pipistrelle)
Lineage: Eukaryota; Metazoa; Chordata; Mammalia; Chiroptera; Vespertilionidae
Exons: 2
Source: RefSeq, a predicted model, not a curated record
UUCAUCUUCUUGCUUAUAGAGGAAGAAAAGAGGAAAGACACUGAUAUACAGAGCCAUUUUCAUGCUGGGAAUCUCAUUUUAAUUUUUUCUUUUCCUUCAUUGAACAAGCAGGUUUUUCAUGUUCAACUUGAUUUGUGAACUUAAGCAACAGGAAGGAGUUCCCAGGUAUUAGAAGACAUAAUUUAUGGUAUGAUUACUUUUAUGAAUCAAUACAUUGACAUCCUGAAUUUGAAAUAUAUAAAUUAGACACUUCUGGGUUUGUGACAUUUUCUGCCUCUCCCAAACUAUCCCACCAAAUGCAGUCUUCCUAGAGUGAGAUUUGUUCACACUAACUACUGUAUCUACAUUUUCUGUUUGACCACUCACUGCAGUCAUCUUUGGACACUUAGCAUCUAGAUCAAUGUCUGAAAAUUCAAGAGCUCAAAAAAUCUGACUAGUUUAAUGUUCCUGCACAUUAUAGGCAAUGUUCUAUCCACCAACUUAUUGGAGGAGCAAGGAGUCAGCAUCUAACAACAAGUUAUCAAUGAAGAAUAUGAAAGUGGAAAUGUUUAAUGCCCACAUAUCUGUUAGGCAUGAACUUCAGUGUAGUUAGUAUUGGGCUUGUUGAUGGCAGUCAAGGUUGCUGACCCCUGUGUGUGCUCCAGGUGUACAACACAGAUAAUUCUGACAGAGCCCCAUUCUGAUGGAGCCGACAAGAUUAAACAUUGAGGGUUUUCCCCAAAAGGGGAUAAUCUCAUUUCAUAAGGGAAGAAGGUAUGUAUCCUUUCGUUUCAACAUCAGCAGUUUGUGAGGCUUGGCUUUCAUCCUUGACUAAGGAAAAGCAACAAGUAAUAUGAACAAAUAACCAUUUUAUUGAUAAUGUAUUUCAUAAAAUAAAAAUGUAGACUUGUAAGGAAAAAAUAGCACAUGAUAUAAUUCUUAGUAGACAAUGAACACAAUUUAACAUUGGAUUGAAAUGUUACAGCAGAUGUAAAUAAAUUUCAGUAAAUGUAGGUGUAAGGCUAAUACAUUUGAAUAGUAGAUAUAAUUUUUGAAGC